Molecule: ribosomal RNA, 446 nt
Filed under: Mycobacterium triviale
Lineage: Bacteria; Bacillati; Actinomycetota; Actinomycetes; Mycobacteriales; Mycobacteriaceae
Description: Mycolicibacillus trivialis bacterial SSU rRNA
Rfam family: Bacterial small subunit ribosomal RNA
Source: RNAcentral
UGCAAGUCGAACGGAAAGGCCCCUUCGGGGGUGCUCGAGUGGCGAACGGGUGAGUAACACGUGGGUGAUCUGCCCUGCACUCUGGGAUAAGCCUGGGAAACUGGGUCUAAUACCGGAUAGGACCGCGCAUCGCAUGGUGUGUGGUGGAAAGCUUUUGCGGUGUGGGAUGGGCCCGCGGCCUAUCAGCUUGUUGGUGGGGUUAUGGCCUACCAAGGCGACGACGGGUAGCCGGCCUGAGAGGGUGUCCGGCCACACUGGGACUGAGAUACGGCCCAGACUCCUACGGGAGGCAGCAGUGGGGAAUAUUGCACAAUGGGCGGAAGCCUGAUGCAGCGACGCCGCGUGAGGGAUGACGGCCUUCGGGUUGUAAACCUCUUUCAGCCUCGACGAAGCGAAAGUGACGGUAGGGGCAGAAGAAGCACCGGCCAACUACGUGCCAGCAGCCG